RNAcentral lists this ribosomal RNA (794 nucleotides) under Listeria monocytogenes. Its description in RNAcentral is "partial 23S ribosomal RNA". It matches the Rfam family "Bacterial large subunit ribosomal RNA", at positions 653 to 1444 of the family's 2925-position model. The record is from RNAcentral. Lineage: Bacteria; Bacillati; Bacillota; Bacilli; Caryophanales; Listeriaceae.
GGAAAAAGCGGAGCCGUAGCGAAAGCGAGUCUGAAUAGGGCGCAUAAGUAACAGGUCGUAGACCCGAAACCAGGUGAUCUACCCAUGUCCAGGAUGAAGGUAAGGUAAUACUUACUGGAGGUCCGAACCCACGCACGUUGAAAAGUGCGGGGAUGAGGUGUGGGUAGCGGAGAAAUUCCAAUCGAACUUGGAGAUAGCUGGUUCUCUCCGAAAUAGCUUUAGGGCUAGCCUCGAGGUAAAGAGUCAUGGAGGUAGAGCACUGUUUGGACUAGGGGCCCUUCUCGGGUUACCGAAUUCAGAUAAACUCCGAAUGCCAUGUACUUAUACUCGGGAGUCAGACUGCGAGUGAUAAGAUCCGUAGUCGAAAGGGAAACAGCCCAGACCACCAGUUAAGGUCCCCAAAUAUAUGUUAAGUGGAAAAGGAUGUGGGGUUGCUUAGACAACCAGGAUGUUGGCUUAGAAGCAGCCACCAUUGAAAGAGUGCGUAAUAGCUCACUGGUCGAGUGACCCCGCGCCGAAAAUGUACCGGGGCUAAACAUAUUACCGAAACUGUGGAUGAACCUCUUUAGAGGUUCGUGGUAGGAGAGCGUUCUAAGGGCGGUGAAGUCAGACCGGAAGGACUGGUGGAGCGCUUAGAAGUGAGAAUGCCGGUAUGAGUAGCGAAAGAAGGGUGAGAAUCCCUUCCACCGAAUAUCUAAGGUUUCCUGAGGAAGGCUCGUCCGCUCAGGGUUAGUCGGGACCUAAGCCGAGGCCGAUAGGCGUAGGCGAUGGACAACAGGUAGAGAUUCCUGUAC